This 402-nucleotide ribosomal RNA is filed under the name uncultured bacterium. RNAcentral describes it as "bacterial SSU rRNA". It matches the Rfam family "Bacterial small subunit ribosomal RNA", at positions 355 to 774 of the family's 1533-position model. The record is from RNAcentral.
UCGGGAAUUUUGGGCUAUGGGCGAAAGCCUGACCCAGCAACGCCGCGUGAGGGAUGAAGUAUUUCGGUAUGUAAACCUCGAAAGAAUGGGAAGAAUAAAUGACGGUACCAUUUAUAAGCUCCGGCUAACUACGUGCCAGCAGCCGCGGUAAUACGUAGGGAGCAAGCGUUGUUCGGAUUUACUGGGCGUAAAGGGCGCGUAGGCGGCGCGGUAAGUCACUUGUAAAAUCUCUGAGCUUAACUCAGAACGGCCAAGUGAUACUGCUGUGCUAGAGUGCGGAAGAGGCAACCGGAAUUCUUGGUGUAGCGGUGAAAUGCGUAGAUAUCAAGAGGAACACCUGAGGCGAAGGCGGGUUGCUGGGCCGACACUGACGCUGAUGCGCGAAAGCCAGGGGAGCAAACG